ACUGAUUUUCAUAUCUCCAUUUUUUUUCUCUUAACUUCUAAAAAAGACGAUCUCAUAUUCUCCUCCUUCUAUUCCCUCCAUAUAUCCAUACCAUUAGAAAGCUAGGGUUUCAGUUCCAUUCUCUGGAUCGCAGAAGAAGAAUAGAAAAUCAGAGUUAUAGUUUGAAUGCUCUUUGGGUUUAUUGAUUUCAGGAACAUGUUAUUUUAAGGAUUUGGCGACAUUCUAGUGAGAGGAUUCAAUAGCGUGGCCUGGUUUUGAUCAAUGUCGAUUUCAAUUACCAGUACGAUCUCUCCUAUUAAGAUUGUUAAUUUGUAUCUGAAAUUCUUUAUUUUCGGACAUCCCACUUUACAAGCAUAUCACCGGCCUUGCUGGUAACAUCCAAUUGGACUUAAACGAAGAUAAGAACAACAGAUCAUCAAAGAUCUCGGGAUGAUUCUGAUGAUUGGGAUCAGUAUGCAAAGAUGAUGACUGCUGACGUAGAGACAAAGUACAGGUUGUGAGAGAUGAUCUCUUCGUCACCAACCCGAAGUGAACUGAGAAAGCAAUCAAAGACAAGUCAUGCAAUGCCCUCCUUCUCAAGGUUAAUCAAAUUGGAUCAGUGAUUGAGGAAAUGGAAGUGGGGAGGAUGUCCGAGAAAGCUGGAUGGGGAGUUCUGACCAGUCAUCACAGUGGUGAAACGACUACACUUUUAUUGCUGAUCUUUUAUGGGCUUAACGAUGGUAAAUUUUCAAUGCUACCUAACUUGAGUUGUUCUUAGCUGGAUGGGAAGUUCUGACCAGUCAUCACGGUGGUGAAACGAAUACACUUUUAUUGCUAAUCUUCUAUGGGCUUAACCAUGGUUCGUAUGGAUUUCCGUCAGUUGACCAUGGCAUUCCUAUAACACAUCCAUAAUAAUUAUUAUUAUUGUAAUAUAUAACACAUCUUAUAUAAUUGUGGCUGCUCGAGAGGCCUAUACCAAUACAGAACUUAUGGAGCGUGUGUAAUUUAACAAGGAGUGGUGAUAGAACACUUACUGCAUGGUGCUCUAAUUAAAUUGAACGGAGUGCGACAUCUACCUUCAAUUUUCAAAGAUAUGUUUCGACCAUUGUUUGUGAUACAUCUGUAUGUAAUUUCAACGGUGUUUUUUUGUUCUCAAUAUUUUUCUACAGGUAGAACUUAUAUAUAUAUGUAAAUUGAUUAGUAAGUCUU
This is a long non-coding RNA of Papaver somniferum (opium poppy), 1188 nucleotides long. RefSeq lists it as uncharacterized. NCBI's taxonomy places the organism in Eukaryota, Viridiplantae, Streptophyta, Magnoliopsida, Ranunculales, Papaveraceae. The record is from RefSeq and is a predicted model, not a curated record. The transcript is spliced from 9 exons.